ACCUGAUAAUCCAUAAUUAUGAGUUUGCCUAGCAAGUAUUGCACAUUUUCUCUUGAACAUUCUCAAAUUUGAUAAUCUUGUUACUUCUAAAUUAUUCAGAGUUGGCAUAUGCUGAAAGAAACACUUUGAGAAGAAGACAAAUUACACUCUCGUUACUAACCAUGACAUUUCGUUGGUAAGCCUUAUGGAAUCUUGUUCUAAGCACUAAGUUUACAAGAAUAUUUCGAGGUCCUCUGAGUUGCUUAUUUACUUAGUUAACAUAAGUUCUUUUUCUCCUGAUUACUUUUCUGAAGGAAGAGAUUUUGUUCUCGGUGAUUGGGCAUAGUGAUUUUGAUGCAUCGCCUGAUCUCAUUCUCACACAGGAUAUCAAUGGGGUGAAUGCCGGUAGGAGAAACUUGCACAUUGUUCAUUUUUUACUUUAUGUUUGUCCAAAUCAUUUGCCAAGCAAAGCAAUGGCAAUUUCUGUGAUAUAUCACGCUCAUUAACACUGAAUAUUUGUUCACCUGCUACUGUAUCUUGAGAAUACGCAUAUGAUAGCUUAGUAUGACUCAUUUGGUGGUUGAUGAAAAUCAUAUACUAGUCAGAUUGUAGGAGGUUUGUGAUUAGUUGUGCCAUUCACUUUUAGAAAUAGAACUGAGAGAUGAAACCCAUCUUUCGCGAAUUAAAACUGAAUGUGCAAGUUUUUAUUAUAGCAACAACAAGGUUUAAGUUCUGAUUUUGUAGAUAAAAAAUAAUUGCCGACUGAAAAAAUUUCCUCCCAGAUACAAGUGUAUCUGGUGGUUGAUUAAACUCAUCAUUAUAAUCCUGUAAUUUUAGAGUAGUGUAAUUUUGAAAAAAAUACAAUGCCAAAGUCGGUCGAAGCGAUGUCAUAUGAAAUCUGGCUUCCAUGGUUUAUACUAAAGGCAUCAUUUUUCAGGUGGUAUAUACAAUUAUACACAACUCAAUUUAUUCUAGAGAAUCAUAUUUCAAAGCUGCCUGAGCUCACCACUAUCCUUGCUUCUACAAGCUAACCAACUUAAUUUUAUCUGUCUUUUGUGUUGUAUUCUUGUCAUUUAUUUAGAUAGAUGUUUCUGUCCUUAAUUAUGUGGAAGGUCGUGAUGAAUGCACCUACAUCUGGUUCCACUUUCUUAGACAAAUUUGUGCAAAAUGUUUUCAGGUACUCAACCUAUUGAUGCACAUGGACAUGAUGACUCUCUAGCGUUUAUGGACCAACCAACCUGUAAUCAUGGACCUUAUUGUCUUGUAGACCAUUUGGUGUUUCGAGUGUUUUGGAGCUUGCACUUUGUGCAUGUAGAUACAAACUUGUGUGUUCUGGACCAUUUGAAGUCUCUCAUAGUAACCAAUAGUCCUUAUCUUUUUGUGACUUGUGUGUUCUAGAUGAUUGUUAAGAUGGUCAACUAUGCUUCCUCUAGGUUAAUUUGUUUGUCAACUUGCGUUCAACGUAUGUGCAUGUUUAUAAACAUAUUUUCAUUCUGGUGUAAUAUGUGUUUAUCUUGAACCUUCUUGUGGGUGUGAGGAUAAUAAUUGAAUAUUUUUAGAGCUGGUAGUAUAA
This 1552-nucleotide long non-coding RNA is filed under the name Hordeum vulgare. RNAcentral describes it as "long non-coding RNA (HVUL_LNC021292)". Lineage: Eukaryota; Viridiplantae; Streptophyta; Magnoliopsida; Poales; Poaceae. The record is from RNAcentral.